CCUACGGGUGGCAGCAGUAGGGAAUUUUUCACAAUGGGCGAAAGCCUGAUGGAGCAACGCCGCGUGCAGGAUGAAGGCCUUCGGGUUGUAAACUACUUUUAUAAGCGAGAAAUAUGAUGGUAACUUAUGAAUAAGGAUCUGCUAACUACGUGCCAGCAGCCGCGGUCAUACGUAGGAUCCGAGCAUUAUACGGAGUGACUGGGUGUAAAGAGUUGCGUAGGUGGCAUAAUAAGUAGCUAGUGAAAUCUGGUGGCUCAACCAUUCAGACUAUUAGCUAAACUGUUAAGCUCGAGACCGCUAGGGGUAACUAGAAUUCCUGGUGUAGGAGUGAAAUCCGUAGAUAUUAGAAGGAACACCAAUAGCGAAGGCAGGUUGCUGGGACGGUUCUGACACUCAGGCGCGAAAGCGUAGGGAGCAAACGGGAUUAGAUACCCUUGUAGUC
Molecule: ribosomal RNA, 442 nt
Filed under: uncultured bacterium
Lineage: Bacteria
Description: partial 16S ribosomal RNA
Rfam family: Bacterial small subunit ribosomal RNA
Source: RNAcentral